Molecule: long non-coding RNA, 2221 nt
Organism: Equus caballus (horse)
Lineage: Eukaryota; Metazoa; Chordata; Mammalia; Perissodactyla; Equidae
Source: Ensembl
UUUGCUCUGAAAUUGUCAAAAUUGCAAGAUUGCCUUCAUGACAGAAAUUUAAAAUGAUGGAAAAGUACGAAUGUCGUCCCACAGGAAGACCUAGCACUACACUGUCAGAUGGUUCUUCUACCCCACUCCCAGAACUCUUCGCUACACCUCUACGUCCUCACCCUAGCCAGCUGAGAGGGGAACUGAGGCUGGCUUCCAAGCUCACCUAGUCAGCAAAGAUAGAGCUGACAGCUGAGUCCACGUGAGUCUGGCUGCGAAGGUCAUCCUCCUCCCACCACACCUCGCUGUCUCUAGCAGAGUCUGGGUGAUCCCUAUCAGGGUAAGCAUUCUUUCAAGUCAUCUGGAAGAACUAAAUCAACAUUCCGAAAUGAGUUUCGAAUGCUCCAUACACCUGAGAAGAAUAAAGGAUCUUUCCCACUCCUGCGGGGGUUCCCUCAGGAUCAGGUGCAGCGUGGCCCACACUUCACAUUGAUUAGUUCUUGUAAAGAAGCCAAAUUCCACAGCCCUCUCAUUGAACAUGGAGUUUAAAAUCCUUACUUGAGGAACUGAGGAAAUUCUCCCCAGCUAAAAAUCCAGCCCAACAGGAAAUCCAGGAAGAAAUAAAGAAAUGCUGACAAGGCAUGCCAGUCUGAAUUCCCUGAGCAGUUGGCCUGUUUGACUUUGUGUGAUGGUGGGCCAACCUGUGUGCCUGCCGGCUCACACCACCGUAGCUCUUCAAACACAUUCUAUAGAUCCCGCUAAUAAAUUCCGUUUGGCUGCAACCCUUUCCCAGUUCCAGGCAGUUGCCUCUGAAGUGUAAGUGCAGCCUGUCUUGAAGCCAGGCUACUGCCACUUACUGGUGAUCUGUACCUCUUUGCAAAACUAAUCUACGCUGCAUUUAAAGACAGGAAGCAGGGUUUGAAUGAAAAUGCAGUACCAUGGCUAGAGGACACAGCUCUCACACCUUCUGCAGCUCCAGAAUAAGUGCUAUGUUUUAAAAAUAUAUAUGUAUGUGUUGGCAACAUUGAAAAGGGGGCUAAAAAAACAUCCCCCACAGAAGUGAGAGCAGCAGCAAAAGAAACGUUAGCGCCCUGCUGACGGGAACAAUAGAGCAUAUGGACAUCACACUGUGCUUGCCAAGCAGACGAGGGCAGGAUGAUCAAAAUGGAGUCAAUCUGCUUCUCUAAUAGCAGAAGAAUCGCCUGCAUGAACACUCUCUCCAAGUGUGCACCGAGGCUCUUUAAUUGCCUGAGAAAGGAGAGAGGGUUUGGUUCACAUUUUAGCCAAGCAUAUGCCUUCCACUGGGUGCCUUUAUCUCAGAGCGCUUCCUGUGGGGAGUCUCAGGUGGCCACCAUCUGUGGAUCUACACACCUGAGACCUAGCACUAAGGCAGAACAUCACUCAGCAAGGGCUCCCGCACCAGAAACCAUUCUUGACUGUCCCUGGGGUGGAGCUGAUUCCACCCGAGGCAUAGAAAAAGUUCUACUACAAAGCUCAGCUCAGGAGGAGAGUCGUCACUGUCCUCCAAGCGACUUCCUGCUUCCCACCUAUUUCCUUCUAAACCCAAUCCAAUCCCUUUCCCCUUCAGGAAAUCGAGUAGCAUGAAAGGUUACAAACCUCAAGGUCAACCUUUUUGUGUGUGUGCAAAUUUUUCAUCUUUUGUUCAAUAGUGAUUGAAAGGGAAAUGCAGAUCGCUUGACACAGCCCAUCACUUUUUCUGAGAACCACCUGGAAAUAAAUUUCCUGUUGCUGUGAGUUGAAUUGUCCUUCUUACAACCAUGUUUGAUUGGCACUCUUGCAUCCUGUUUCCCUCCAUAAGGACUUUCCAACCCAAAAAGCACAGUGUGAGCAUAAGUAGAGGCCUUGUAUACUCUUUCCUGUGACUAAAGUAGUCUACACAAACACAACUCUGAAAUUUGGGUUUAAAGCACAAAAUGCUUCUCUGUUCUCUAGACUCAUGUAUCUAAGUGCCUGUUAAACAUUCUCAACUUGGAUGUCACACAGGGAUUCAAAAUUGUGUCACAAACAUAUUUCUCUCUCUGAAUCUCCACUGCCUCCUCUCCAGUCCAAAUUACAUCAUGUGUCACCUGGAAAACUACGAAACUCUCCCUCCCAAUUAGCAUUCUUCCAACCCUGAGCUCCCUUCCAUCUAUUUUCCAAACAAAAGAUAGAGUAUUUUUUAAACACCAAUUGUAUGACAUCACUUUCCUACUUAAAAUGUCUCAAUAAUUUCUCAUCACAC